UAGGGAAUCUUCCGCAAUGGGCGAAAGCCUGACGGAGCAACGCCGCGUGAGUGAUGAAGGUCUUCGGAUCGUAAAACUCUGUUAUUAGGGAAGAACAAAUGUGUAAGUAACUAUGCACGUCUUGACGGUACCUAAUCAGAAAGCCACGGCUAACUACGUGCCAGCAGCCGCGGUAAUACGUAGGUGGCUAGCGUUGUUCGGAUUUACUGGGCGUAAAGCGCGCGUAGGCGGUUUUUUAAGUCUGAUGUGAAAGCCCACGGCUCAACCGUGGAGGGUCAUUGGAAACUGGAAAACUUGAGUGCAGAAGAGGAAAGUGGAAUUCCAUGUGUAGCGGUGAAAUGCGCAGAGAUAUGGAGGAACACCAGUGGCGAAGGCGACUUUCUGGUCUGUAACUGACGCUGAUGUGCGAAAGCGUGGGGAUCAAACAGG
Molecule: ribosomal RNA, 429 nt
Filed under: Actinomycetes bacterium
Lineage: Bacteria; Bacillati; Actinomycetota; Actinomycetes
Description: Actinobacteria bacterium partial 16S ribosomal RNA
Rfam family: Bacterial small subunit ribosomal RNA
Source: RNAcentral